This is a long non-coding RNA of Heterocephalus glaber (naked mole-rat), 3129 nucleotides long. NCBI's taxonomy places the organism in Eukaryota, Metazoa, Chordata, Mammalia, Rodentia, Bathyergidae. The record is from Ensembl.
GGACCAGCUGGGCGCCCAGGGCUGAGGGCGAGGGCAGCGCGGACAGUUUUGCCUCUCUUCAGAAGGAAAACGACAGCAAGACUCGCAGGCUGGGGGCACGCGGGGAGCGGGGUUGGCACCGUGUCGGACGGACAGCGCGCGGCGCGUUAGCCCGAGGCCUGAGGCCUGAGCUUGGCGGCGGCCUGCAGCCAGAGGACGCGGGAAAGGGAGCGGGCACCGGGAGCGCCGCUUCUGCGUCUGCCCGCGAAACCUUAGGGGGACCGAGGCCUCCCUGGCGCCCAGCACAGCCCAUCCAGGCCCGGGCGGCUCCUGGCGGGGCGCGGCCAGCAGGGGGCGCGCCGCACCCGGGAACGUGCGUGGCGGGCGCCCGGCAGGGGCCGCCCAGGAGGAGGCCGACUGCGGAUGCUGCCGCGCGUGGCUAGGGCCCCUGGAUCUGCAGCUCCGAAACACGCUUGCAGGUGUCAGCUGUUUGGUCCCAGCACUGGACAGGUGACAAAUAUAAUGGUAUCAUGUAAUGUCGGGACUGGCUAGAAAAGUCUGAGAUCGCCCAAGACAACCGGGGAGCCCAGAGUGUCUCUUCAACACCAAGGAAGAGCCAAGAGGCACUGUCUUGUUGGAGACAACAGCUAAAAGCCUGCAGAGCAAGGAUCCGGGGGCAGGGGCAGGGAGCAGCUGCGGCAGUUCCAGCGCAGAGUCCUGUGACCCGCUGUGCAGUGCUGGACCUGACCGAUCGCUCACAGCCCUCCUUCCUUCGGGCACGCCUUUGCACCGAGCUGCCUUCCCAGCCCACCCCUGUCAGCUGCGUAUUCUGAGACGUUGUCUCCCUAAGUCACUGAGUUGCCCAGGCUGGGCGCAAACUUAUGAUCCUCCUGCCUCAGCCUCCCAGAGCACGGUGAAAAUAGGCCUGGCUGGAAAGUAUCCUCUACAUGCAUCAUCUUCACUGUCCUCUCAGCAGCCCUAGAUCAGGACUGCUUCGUCAUCUUGUAUUCCAGAUGGGGAGACGAGGCACAGAGAUGAGUUCCCGAGGCAGGGAGCCAGCCGACUCGAGCCCCACACUGGGGUCACAGAGCAUGCUGGUCGGCGCCAAGCUCCUGUCGGGCCGAGGGGCAGUGUGGAGAGCAGCUCUAGGGUCAGCUCCCCUGGCUCACAGGGCCGGGGCGCCCCGGGGGAUCCUGGCUACUCCUCCCCAGAGGAGAAGGCUGGGCAGGGGGCCUCUGCUCUCUACAGCGAGAUCCGGAGGAGUCCGGACAGAGGGGAGCGUUCUCUCAGUCUGGUGUUGGGCCCCAACUUCAAAGCCCAGGGGUCAUGGAAAGCGCAGGGAAGGCCGUGCUGCUGAGAAGGCCCUGCGGGCUCUGGGGUCAGGGAGAAGGCAGCCAGCCCGUCUGCAGCUCCCUUGCUCUCAGGUGUAAAGUGCACGGAACUCCCUGGCUCUGCACUGGUGGGCUGGAGCGCUCACACACGGCAAAUCCUCAGCCCAGUGCCUGGCACACGGCCUGUUCUCAGGCCCCAUGGGAAUCUCGCUUCUAGGGCUCUGCUAAUAUCAGUCUGGGGAUUCUGCCUCUUAGGCCAAAGUCUCCUCUGAAUUCUUUACUCCCUUGUUUCGGAUGACAAGAUCCAGGACUUCUUUUAGUACCUGUGGUUCUCGAAGUCCCAGGGCCCUUUUCCACAUCUCACUUUGGGCUUGGUGCCGUGGCCAACAUGGCCAGGGCUCUGGUGCUCACCUCUUCCUCUCCAGGGCUGCAGAAAUAGGGCCCCUGCGCCCUUUGGCCUGCAGGGCUCCUGGGCCAGGCUGCCCCUGCUAGAGGUCAGGCCCGCUGGCUUCCCUAGGCUCUGCACCGAUCGCCCAAGUCCACUGCCUCUGGCGGGCCUGCCGGGCGCAGCCCCCAGAACCCAGCCCCUGCUGCCUCCCUGAGAAUCCUGCCAGAGCUCUCUACUGCGACACCAGGACCUGAUGACAGCAGCAAGUUGGGUUCCUUUUUGUAGCAAAUGACAAGAGAUCCAGCUGAAACAAACAUAAACCACUCUGUGAUAGAAAAGUCAGGGCGCAGCAGGAUGUGAAAUCGCCAACCAAAUUAUCAAGUCUGUGCCCGUCUUUGCCCUCUGGUGGCUUCAUUUGGCCAGAGCUCCCCAGUCAGGCGGCAGAGGCAGCUCACCUGUGGCUGCCUGCGGUUCCUCUCGGGCAUUGCUCCUCCCACAUGCUUGCCCUUCGAAGCAAGGUGGUGACUUCGAAGAUUUCUCUACCAGUGGUAGAAUACCUCUGCCUUCUCUCUGAGGUUGGGUGUAGCUAGUGAUGCAUUUCAUUGAAGGAACAUGGUUGUGAACCACAGGACAUCAGUUCUGAGCCUUGGUCUUAAGAUCUCCAUUUGCCCUUCUCCACUGCUGGUGGGAAUGCAGACUGGUGCAACCACCGUGGAAAUCAGUAUGGAGAUACCUCAAAGAACUAGGACUGGAGGUCCCGUUUGACCCAGCUACUCCCCUGCUGGGGAUCUUCCCCAAAGAAUUAAAAGAAUCAUACCACAGUGAUAUAUGUGCACCCAUGUUCACAGUGGCACAGUUUGUGAUAGCUAAAGCUUGGAAGCAACCCAAAUGCCCAUCAACUGGAGACUGGAUCAAGAAAAUGUGUUUUUUUUUUAAUAAAAUGGAGUACUACUCAGACAUAAAGAACAAGAAACUAGAGACAUUUAUGGCCAAAUGGAUGCACACUGAGGCCAUACUCUUAAGUGAAAUAAAUAGGACACACAUGUGUAAAUACCAAAUAGUUUCUCUAGUGUGAGAAACUGACAGUGUAAAUAAGGAUUAAAACAUAUAAUAGAUAAUGUGAAAUAGGAAGAAAAGGUCCAAAGGGGUAGGGGUGGUGGGAGGGGAAGGGGAAAGGGAAGAAGGGAAAGGAAAAAUUAUGAGAAAAGAAAAAAAAUGGAAACAAAGUCUAUGUAAAUAGGGAAGGGUGGAGGGGGUGAAGGGCGAACAGGUAAUGGGGAAGAAAUAAGAACCAAGAUACGUCGUGUACAGGUGCAAGCACCCAAUGAGAAAUGUAAAUGAAUUGUAUACCUAAAGUGUACCAAUAAAAGAAUCUAAGAAAACAAAAGAUCUCCAUUUGCUUUUCCCACGCUUCUGGAAUCACCGUGAGCG